CCUACGGGAGGCAGCAGUAAGGAAUAUUGGUCAAUGGACGAGAGCCUGAACCAGCCAAGUAGCGUGAAGGAUGACUGCCCUAUGGGUUGUAAACUUCGUUUAUAUGGGAGUAAAAUGUUCCACGUAUGGGAUGUUGUAUGUACCAUAUGAAUAAGGAACGGCUAACUCCGUGCCAGCAGCCGCGGUAAUACGAAGGAUAGGAGCGUUAUCCGGAUUGAUUGGGGUUAAAGGGAGCGUAGGUGGAUUGUUAAGUCAGUUGUGAAAGUUUGCGGCUCAACCGUAAAAUUGCAGUUGAAACUGGCAGUCUUGAGUACAGUAGAGGUGUGCGGAAUUCGUGGUGUAGCGGUGAAAUGCUUAGAUAUCACGAAGAACUCCGAUUGCGAAGGCAGCUCACUGGACUGCAACUGACACUGAGGCUCGAAAGUGUGGGUAUCAAACAGGAUUAGAUACCCGUGUAGUC
Molecule: ribosomal RNA, 460 nt
Filed under: uncultured bacterium
Lineage: Bacteria
Description: partial 16S ribosomal RNA
Rfam family: Bacterial small subunit ribosomal RNA
Source: RNAcentral